CCUACGGGAGGCAGCAGUGAGGAAUAUUGGUCAAUGGGCGCGAGCCUGAACCAGCCAAGUCGCGUGAGGGAUGAAGGUUCUAUGGAUCGUAAACCUCUUUUAUAAGGGAAUAAAGUGUGGGACGUGUCCUAUUUUGUAUGUACCUUAUGAAUAAGGAUCGGCUAACUCCGUGCCAGCAGCCGCGGUAAUACGGAGGAUCCGAGCGUUAUCCGGAUUUAUUGGGUUUAAAGGGUGCGUAGGCGGGCGUUUAAGUCAGUGGUGAAAGUUUGAGGCUCAACCAUAGAAUUGCAGUUGAAACUGGGGGGCUUGAGUAUGGUUGAGGCAGGCGGAAUUCCUGGUGUAGCGGUGAAAUGCGUAGAUAUCAGGAGGAACACCGAUGGCGAAGGCAGCCUGCUGAACUGCAACUGACGUUGAGGCCCGAAAGCGUGGGGAGCAAACAGGAGUAGAUACCCGAGUAGUC
Molecule: ribosomal RNA, 460 nt
Filed under: uncultured bacterium
Lineage: Bacteria
Description: partial 16S ribosomal RNA
Rfam family: Bacterial small subunit ribosomal RNA
Source: RNAcentral